UUGACCUCGGAUCAGGUAGGGAUACCCGCUGAACUUAAGCAUAUCAAUAAGGCGG
Molecule: ribosomal RNA, 55 nt
Filed under: Penicillium paxilli
Lineage: Eukaryota; Fungi; Ascomycota; Eurotiomycetes; Eurotiales; Aspergillaceae
Also listed under: 1 other name
Description: partial 28S ribosomal RNA
Source: RNAcentral